GCAGGCUACUUCUGCUGACUGCCAGCUGCCUGCAACUUGGCAGUCCAAAUCUCACCAGGCUGAUGGUUGACUCAGCCUUCUAUCCUUCCGAGAUCAUCCUAAAUCAGUGGUGGGUUGCCCCCGGUUCGGACCCGUUCUAUAGAAAACAGUAAAACUGGCGGGAGGCUCCACCCACUGACCCCAACAUCAUCAGGAAGCUUCUGCGCAUGCGGCCCCAUUGAGAACCGGCAGUAAAGUUUAGGAGUAUUAGGCAUCCAGAAGAACUGUGGAUCUGCUUCCUGCCCUUUUCUGAAAUUGGAGUUUUGAUUUGGGAAAGAACUGAUAUAAUGGUUUCUACCAAGACCCAUUGUAUUCCCUAACAAACCAGUGUUAUUUAGCUCAGCAUCAAGGACCAAAUUGUUUUACAGAGGAAAAACUCACACUUUAAAAUUGGCAACAGAGGAGAAACAACAGAGACGAGGGAAGGUGACAGGCACAAAACUGACAAGAUAACAGAACGAACAGAGAUUGUAGACACAAUAAUGAUUAAGAUGAAAGUGUUUAAACUCUGUACUGUACUGUUAUUUUAUUUAUCCAGAUAUACACAAUUUCUAAUAAAGUGCUGAAUGAGCCUAUGA
Pantherophis guttatus is the source of this 617-nucleotide long non-coding RNA. RefSeq lists it as uncharacterized. The record is from RefSeq and is a predicted model, not a curated record. NCBI's taxonomy places the organism in Eukaryota, Metazoa, Chordata, Lepidosauria, Squamata, Colubridae.